Molecule: ribosomal RNA, 520 nt
Filed under: uncultured Glomus
Lineage: Eukaryota; Fungi; Glomeromycota; Glomeromycetes; Glomerales; Glomeraceae
Description: SSU rRNA
Rfam family: Eukaryotic small subunit ribosomal RNA
Source: RNAcentral
AGCAGCCGCGGUAAUUCCAGCUCCAAUAGCGUAUAUUAAAGUUGUUGCAGUUAAAAAGCUCGUAGUUGAAUUUCGAGACCGGCUUACUGGUCGUGCUAUUGUACGUACUGGUAUAAUCGGUUUCUCCUUUCUGACGAACUUUAAUGCCAUUAAUUUGGUGUUUUAGGGAAUCAGGACUGUUACUUUGAAAAAAUUAGAGUGUUUAAAGCAGGCUCACGCUUGAAUACAUUAGCAUGGAAUAACGGAAUAGGACGUUUGAUUCUAUUUUGUUGGUUUCUAGGAUCGACGUAAUGAUUAAUAGGGAUAGUUGGGGGCAUUAGUAUUCAAUUGUCAGAGGUGAAAUUCUUGGAUUUAUUGAAGACUAACUACUGCGAAAGCAUUUGCCAAGGGUGUUUUCAUUAAUCAAGAACGAAAGUUAGGGGAUCGAAGACGAUCAGAUACCGUCGUAGUCUUAACCAUAAACUAUGCCGACUAGGGAUCGGAUGAUGUUAAUUUUUAAUGACUCAUUCGGCGCCUUACG